This 1000-nucleotide long non-coding RNA is filed under the name Gallus gallus (chicken). RNAcentral's name for it is "lncRNA (ENSGALG00010015824.1)". Lineage: Eukaryota; Metazoa; Chordata; Aves; Galliformes; Phasianidae. The record is from RNAcentral.
UUUAACAGCUGAACAAGAGCUGUGUGGAUAAGGAAGGUGACAAAGGAGAUGGGCCACUUUGAAAUUACCAGUAAGCAGAAGACCAACUGAACUGCUGUAUGAUACCGCAUUAUCCAAGUCAGUCUAACAGGGAGACCGUGGGAAUGGAUGGACCUCAUGCUGGAUGCCUACAUGGAUGUGGGGGUUCCAGGCCCUUUUGGGAAGUGCAAUGCUGCAAAGGAUUUAGUACAUCACUGAAGUCAAACAUGGCUACGAAUCAGAUUCACUGCGUGUGACAGAAGACGAGUAAGCUAAGCUCUGUUUCGGUGCUCUUGGAUGAGGUGACAUCACUUAUGUACUAUCUGAACCAUCUGAAACGUCUCUAAUAAUGAUAAAAGCAUUUUAGGCUGGAAAAGAUCCUGAAGAUCAUUGGGUCCAGUCAUCCACCUAACUACCAAGUCCAGCACUUAACAGAAGGUAAAUUUCUAUGUCCAUUUAGAUACAGACUGAUUUGCAUGUAAUUGCCACUGAUGCGGUGGGAUGCACUGGGUUAAGACCAGGUUAGAAACUUGACAAAAUGUGUGGCAAAUUGUUUGGACUAUAGCAAAAGGUGUAAGCUGUUGGGAGCUUUGCCCAUGUUUCAUCUGCAACAGGCUGAGGUUCUCCAUCCUCUAACCUGUACUACAAGUUAUCUGUCCCAAUAAAUGAACAUUUUGAUUUCCUGAAAAAAAAAAAAGCCAGUAACAAUGAAUCCCGUUUCAGCUGAAGAAUUGAGUAAUUUCCCCAAAAUCUUGAAAGCAGAAACUUAUCAACACAACGCCCUGCCAUGUCCACAAUUUGAAAGGCCCCUGCCUGAUCUGGCAAAGCUGAUGAUUUCAGAGGAGCUCUAUUGCUUGGAGUAGCUCCAUUUUGAAGCAUCCACUUUGAGGUACAGUAAGCCUCAUCCUAUGAGCACACAGUGAUCAUGGAUCAAGCUGAAGUCACAGCGAGGAGAAAAUGGCCAUCAGUUUCAAAAACUCAG